This 21-nucleotide non-coding RNA is filed under the name Arabidopsis thaliana (thale cress). The record is from RNAcentral. Lineage: Eukaryota; Viridiplantae; Streptophyta; Magnoliopsida; Brassicales; Brassicaceae.
UGAGACGACAUGGUUCGCUCA